CGCUGAUUGUUCAUCUUGUUCCAUUUUUUUUCUUCCAAGUAUGUGUGAUCAGAGUCUGCAAGAAAAAUAACGACGUAGAUUUUGUUGGCUCCGCAUGGAUCGCAGAAAACAUAGUAAGGUUUAAUUUAAAAUCGGUAGCCUCGUAAAAACUCUAAAUCCGAAAUAAGCGCCUAGACCACUUCCUGCGGUUCGGAAAAUACAGAGAUCGCCGUGGUGUACGAAAGAUGAACUGUCGCCAAUCCGGGUUCGGAACAACAAAUUCUGAUUCCACCCCAGCCUAAAGAGAUUGAUCUGGUGCUAAGUACAGCACCACCGUGAUGUCUACACGCUAACUUUUGGCUACCCCUUAAAGGCGUAAAAUUGACCCGUUAUUGAGAACCCCCAUGAUCUGUCAAAUAACGGGUCAUUAUAUCGGAUCAAUAUUACCCCUUUUUUUAAAAGGCUCGAUUCCCUUCAAAAAGGGCAGUUUUAGAUGCGUUACAUUAAAAGCGUUGAAUUCGGCAUGAUGAGAGAUGUUGUGGUAAGUUUUAAUUGUAACAAUUUGAAUUGUAUUCUUUCCGAAUUUAUAUUCAUUCAUUUUAUUUCAGCAGCACAGCAAAGUUCCGGACGAGCCAGGCAGACACAAAUAGAAUUUAACAUGAAGACACGCACCGAGGCGAUCUAAAAUUGAAGGUAAGAUUGAUGGUUAAUGUUUUCUUAGCUUAAAAUCUAAUCUUUUCUUUUCUUUCAGGAUGCAUCGUAAGAUAAUUAUAAUUUUAUUUAAGUGAAUCCAAAUUUGAAAAAAAAUUGGCAUCUCAAUAAACUAAAUGAAAUAAAACAUGUUGUUUUUAUUUAUUUUCCAGGGGACACAUUCUCUAUAAAUAGAACCUUUAAUUUCCACCAUACGGAAGCUUUUGGAAUAAGGGGUAAUUUUCAUCCGCUGCGUUUGAAAUAAGGGGUAAAUUUUAUCCGGUGCAAGCGUUAUCAAGCUGAGUACCCCUUAAAGGGUACAGCGGCUGUAUCCUUUAAAAGGAGUUCUCCCAGUCUCAUCGAAUAACGGGUCAAAAGUAUUCGUUAAGGGGUAGCCAAAAGUUAGCGUGUAGGACGGCAACAGCUGCAGUGGCCACCAGCAACACGGUUUAGUAUGCUAUGCUGAUUUCCACUCGGCACCAAGUGUAGCUACGCAACAUUUGCGGCAGGCAACUCUUCGUCGCCGCUCUCCGCUGAGCAGUCACAGUAUGUAUUUCAAUUUCAAACGAUUGGCUCGUACCAACCGAGCUCUGUGCACCAUCCUACUACGUAUGGGUCGAACAACAGCUUCAGUGAUCCGGUUGCACCUUCCAACAGGCUCCGGCUGUGCGACAACGGGCCACCGCCUUAAAAAACACCAUGGAAAUGCCAGGAGAUAACUUUAGCAGCAUAGGUUCUCUGGAUGUGCAGUUUGGCAAUUAGUACUUUGGUACGGAAGAUGCUUUGGAUAGUGGAUAGGCGAACGGAAGGGCGCUGUAGCGUAUGAAUAUUCAAGCUUAUCCAGUUGGUCGUAUCCAUUAUGGUCCUGCGCUCAAUGUACCCAAUUUUAUUUGAGAGAAUUAAAGGACACGUUGAUCUGACCUCUUUUUACCAAGAUGUAUAUGCGGCUGGUCUGGUGCUACCGAAAACAGUUGCUGUGUAUCGGUACUACAAUCGAGAUCAACAAAACGAUGCAAAGAAUGAUAAAAAUGUACCAACUGCCGGAAGCUUAUGCCCAAUUAUUUCGUUGAUAAUAGAGGACCGCCGCUGUAUGUUUCCUACCACGCUGGCCAACUUUAUGGGAAACAUGUAUAAGCUGCAUCUUGAACUGCACAUUUUUUUGAAAAUUCGCCUGUCUUAACUGGAAACUACUAAAGCUGUGUAGCCUCUGUGUCGUCAUCCCGACAUCAUCGGUGCAGAUUUUUAGUGAAUAAUAGAGAAAAAGGUCUUCUUAUCUCAAUUAAAUUUUCAGCAUGUAAUUAAAUGCUGUAGAAGAGAUACAUGCUGCUGUUAAGGAUGUCAGAUUUUGUGUUAUAUUCCAAGUAGUGUUUUUUAUUAGAGCUUAGGUAUCAGAAGCUGAAUCUUAGCAGUUAGUCAUAGGUAAAAAGUAUAACAAUCACGAGUGCUUAUAUUGGUUAAAGAAAGGAAGAUCUAUACAAAAACAAAGAUUGUAAUUGAAUAAUAAAUUUAG
Uranotaenia lowii is the source of this 2179-nucleotide long non-coding RNA. RefSeq lists it as uncharacterized. The transcript is spliced from 5 exons. The record is from RefSeq and is a predicted model, not a curated record. Lineage: Eukaryota; Metazoa; Arthropoda; Insecta; Diptera; Culicidae.